Molecule: ribosomal RNA, 468 nt
Filed under: uncultured bacterium
Lineage: Bacteria
Description: partial 16S ribosomal RNA
Rfam family: Bacterial small subunit ribosomal RNA
Source: RNAcentral
GACGAACGCUGGCGGCGUGCUUAACACAUGCAAGUCGAACGGAAAGGCCCUGCUUUUGUGGGGUGCUCGAGUGGCGAACGGGUGAGUAACACGUGAGUAACCUGCUCUUGACUUUGGGAUAACUUCAGGAAACUGGGGCUAAUACCGGAUAGGAGCUCCUGCUGCAUGGUGGGGGUUGGAAAGUUUCGGCGGUUGGGGAUGGACUCGCGGCCUAUCAGCUUGUUGGUGGGGUAGUGGCUUACCAAGGCUUUGACGGGUAGCCGGCCUGAGAGGGUGACCGGCCACAUUGGGACUGAGAUACGGCGCAGACUCCUACGGGAGACAGCAGUGGGGAAUAUUGCACAAUGGGUGGAAGCCUGAUGCAGCAACGCCGCGUGCGGGAUGACGGCCUUCGGGUUGUAAACCGCUUUCGCCUGUGACGAAGCGUGAGUGACGGUAAUGGGUAAAGAAGCACCGGCUAACUACGUG